UACGUAGGGUGCAAGCGUUGUCCGGAAUUAUUGGGCGUAAAGGGCUCGUAGGCGGCUUGUCCAGUCUGAUGUGAAAGCUCGGGGCUCAACCCGGGAACUGCAGUUGGUACUGGCAGGCUAGAGUUCGGGAGAGGAUAGUGGAAUUCCCGGUGUAGCGGUGAAAUGCGCAGAUAUCAGGAGGAACACCAGUGGCGAAGGCGGGUGUCUGGACCGCAACUGACGCUGAGGAGCGAAAGCGUGGGGAGCAAACAGG
This 253-nucleotide ribosomal RNA is filed under the name uncultured bacterium. RNAcentral describes it as "partial 16S ribosomal RNA". It matches the Rfam family "Bacterial small subunit ribosomal RNA", at positions 524 to 776 of the family's 1533-position model. The record is from RNAcentral.